GGUUAGCUUAGUUCAAUGGUAGAACAUUAGUUUGUGGGUCUAAUAAUUCCAGUUCGAUUCUGGGAGUUGACC
RNAcentral lists this transfer RNA (72 nucleotides) under Microbotryum cf. violaceum BFL-2013. RNAcentral's name for it is "tRNA-His". It matches the Rfam family "tRNA". Rfam says of the family: Transfer RNA (tRNA) molecules are approximately 80 nucleotides in length. Their secondary structure includes four short double-helical elements and three loops (D, anti-codon, and T loops). Further hydrogen bonds mediate the characteristic L-shaped molecular structure. tRNAs have two regions of fundamental functional importance: the anti-codon, which is responsible for specific mRNA codon recognition, and the 3' end, to which the tRNAs corresponding amino acid is attached (by aminoacyl-tRNA synthetases). tRNAs cope with the degeneracy of the genetic code in two manners: having more than one tRNA (with a specific anti-codon) for a particular amino acid; and 'wobble' base-pairing, i.e. permitting non-standard base-pairing at the 3rd anti-codon position. Lineage: Eukaryota; Fungi; Basidiomycota; Microbotryomycetes; Microbotryales; Microbotryaceae. The record is from RNAcentral.